UACGGAGGGUCCAAGCGUUAUCCGGAUUUACUGGGUUUAAAGGGUGUGUAGGCGGAUUUUUAAGUCAGAGGUGAAAUCUCCAGGCUCAACCUGGAAACUGCCCCUGAUACUAUUAGUCUUGAAUAUUGAUGAGGUGGGCGGAACGGGUCAUGUAGCGGUGAAAUGCUUAGAGAUGACCCGGAACACCAAUUGCGAAGGCAGCUCACUGGGCAAUUAUUGACGCUGAGGCACGAAAGCGUGGGGAUCAAACAGG
RNAcentral lists this ribosomal RNA (253 nucleotides) under uncultured bacterium. RNAcentral describes it as "partial 16S ribosomal RNA". It matches the Rfam family "Bacterial small subunit ribosomal RNA", at positions 524 to 776 of the family's 1533-position model. The record is from RNAcentral.